This is a non-coding RNA of Chelonoidis abingdonii (Abingdon island giant tortoise), 197 nucleotides long. NCBI's taxonomy places the organism in Eukaryota, Metazoa, Chordata, Testudines, Testudinidae. The record is from RefSeq and is a predicted model, not a curated record.
CCCUCUUGCAUCUUCUUUGGAUAUUUUAAAAAUAGAAAAUGGUUUUUACUCUCCUUCUUCCUAUCCCCAGUGGAAGCCCUUAGGCUCUCUGGACAAUGCCCAGCCAAGAAUUUCCACUAGCAGCAGUAUAAAUCCAUUUACACUCACAUCAGAGGCACCUCUGCACUUCCAGAGUGAUGGGAGAUCAAGGUAAGUGA